AUGAAUACUUCUCUACCCAAUGGCUUGCAUAAUCUUGUUAGCCUGCGGCAUCUUAUUGCACAAAAGAGAGCCUAUUCUUCCAUUGCUAGCAUUGGUAACAUGACAUCUAUCCAGGAGCUACAUGAUUUUGAGGUCCGAAUUUCUAGAGGCUUUGAGAUUACACAACUCAAAUCCAUGAAUGAGCUUGUUCAACUUGGAGUGUCUCACCUUGACAGUGUUAAAACCCAGGAGGAGGCUUAUGAGGCAGGACUAAGAAACAAAGAACACUUAGAGGAGCUUCAUUUGUCCUGGAAUGAUACAUUUUCAGAGAACGAGUCUGUCAGUGACACUAGAUCUGAAUCUUCUGUAAACAUGGCAAGAGAAGUGAUUGAGGGUCUUGAACCACAUAUGGAUUUAAAGCAUCUACAUAUAUCUGGGUAUAAUGGUACUACUUCACCAACUUGGCUUGCCAGGAAUAUCUCAGUUACCUCCUUGCAGACACUUCAUCUUGAUGGUUGUGGAGGAUGGAAAAUACUUCCUUCUUUGGAAAGUCUUCCAUUUCUUACAAAACAAAAGUUGAGCAGCAUGCGGGAGAUAACAGAAGUAUUGGUUCCUUCACUGGAGGAACUAGUUUUACUCAAGAUGCCUAAGUUUGAUCUAUUUGAGAACAAUAAUAAAUUCGAAAUCAAGCAGAGGUCAUGGUUGCCUUCUCUUAGAAAAUUAAUUCUGUGUGAUUGCCCUCAAUUGAAAGUGUUGAAGUCCCUUCCGCCUUCAACAAUCUGUUCUGAGUUACUCAUCAGUGGAGUUUCCAUGCUUCCAGAUAUGGCGGGAUCAUCCAGCGGAAAUUUAAGUAUUGAUUAUGGUAAUCAGUAUAUAGACGAUGAUAUUGAUGAAUAUUCUGAUGUGUUGAGGAUACUGGAUGGAAAGUUUUUGGCAUUCCAUAAUCUUGGAAACCUCAAAUCGAUGAACAUAUGUGGUGCGACAAACCUGAGGUCUUUUUCGUUCCAAGGUUUUAGCCAUCUCAUCUCUUUAAGGAGUUUGGAAAUAAAAGAGUGCGAAAUACUUUUCUCUUCAGAUGUGACGCAGCCUACCCUUGAAGAUAUGACAACCUUCCCUUCACUUGGAAGUCUCACUAUUGAGUCAUGUGGAAUAGCAGGGAAGCAGCUAUCUCUGAUGUUGCAACUGUUGGAAAUAUGCCCUAGAGGCAAUAAUAAAAGUAUUAUUAUAUUUCAUUGUUCAUGA
This 1221-nucleotide ribosomal RNA is filed under the name Triticum aestivum (bread wheat). RNAcentral describes it as "partial small subunit ribosomal RNA". Lineage: Eukaryota; Viridiplantae; Streptophyta; Magnoliopsida; Poales; Poaceae. The record is from RNAcentral.